ACACUUUCGAUUUAUAUAAUAGACGACUUGCUAAAUGUCACUUGUUGCAGCUUCUUGUCUUUGGGAUCUUGAACGAUUUUAUGGGUGCGUGAGGAUCGUAAAAGAAAGCGGCAAAAACAAAAGUAGUUGGUUACUUAAUCUUAACUAAUCUAGAACUGCAUCUUCUAUCCAUACAUCUUAAAAUGAAAAUCGUUAUGCCAAAUUUCCAAAAUCUAGAUGAUUUUAUGGAUAAUCUGCAAAGUGAGACAUAUGCACCUAUAUCUUAGCCUCAUAUCAACAUUGUCAAAACAUUCCAGGAUCCAGCAGUAACCUAACACAUGACUGUUGGCUAUUCAAUAAAAUAAUAUACACGAAAAGUCAUGGAAUUCAUAUAAAUAAGAUGUCAUUAAAGCUGACUCUUAAUAUAU
This is a long non-coding RNA of Drosophila willistoni, 407 nucleotides long. RefSeq lists it as uncharacterized. Lineage: Eukaryota; Metazoa; Arthropoda; Insecta; Diptera; Drosophilidae. The record is from RefSeq and is a predicted model, not a curated record. The transcript has 3 exons.